CAGUCGCCGCGGGAAAACGUAGGUGGCAAGCGUUGUCCGGAAUUAUUGGGCGUAAAGGGCUCGCAGGCGGUUUCUUAAGUCUGAUGUGAAAGCCCCCGGCUCAACCGGGGAGGGUCGUUGGAAACUGGGAAACUUGAGUGCAGAAGAGGAGAGUGGAAUUCCACGUGUAGCGGUGAAAUGCGUAGAGAUGUGGAGGAACACCAGUGGCGAAGGCGACUCUCUGGUCUGUAACUGACGCUGAGGAGCGAAAGCGUGGGGAGCGAACAGGAUUAGAUACCCCUGUAGUCCCUGUCUCUUAUAC
Molecule: ribosomal RNA, 301 nt
Filed under: uncultured bacterium
Lineage: Bacteria
Description: partial 16S ribosomal RNA
Rfam family: Bacterial small subunit ribosomal RNA
Source: RNAcentral